AUACGGAGGGGGCAAGCGUUAUUCGGAAUCACUGGGCGUAAAGGACGCGUAGGCGGGUUGGCAAGUCAGAUGUGAAAUCCUACAGCUUAACUGUAGAACUGCAUUUGAAACUGCUAACCUAGAGUAUGGGAGGGGGAGAUGGAAUUAGUGGUGUAGGGGUAAAAUCCGUAGAUAUCACUAGGAAUACCGAAAGCGAAGGCGAUCUCCUGGAACAUAACUGACGCUAAGGCGUGAAAGCGUGCGGAGCAAACAGGAUUAGAUACCCUAGUAGUCC
This 274-nucleotide ribosomal RNA is filed under the name uncultured bacterium. RNAcentral describes it as "partial 16S ribosomal RNA". It matches the Rfam family "Bacterial small subunit ribosomal RNA", at positions 523 to 796 of the family's 1533-position model. The record is from RNAcentral.